Long non-coding RNA from Triticum aestivum (bread wheat), 2287 nucleotides. RefSeq lists it as uncharacterized. The transcript is spliced from 2 exons. The record is from RefSeq and is a predicted model, not a curated record. NCBI's taxonomy places the organism in Eukaryota, Viridiplantae, Streptophyta, Magnoliopsida, Poales, Poaceae.
UCUCUCCUCUCUCUCUCACUCGCCCACGAACAGGUUGCGCCGCCACCGUCGUCGUUUCGUUUGGCUCCCACCUCCUCAUGGCGCAGUCCAUGCCCACCCCGUUGGAAUGUCGCCUCCGUCUCCGUUUAGCCGUCGAUGUCCUCCAUCUCUUGUCUUCCGUCUGAUAGGCCAACAGAGAGCAUCUAUUUCUGGGGGCGGCCGGCCACGAGAUCCAUCACCAGAUCGGUGGCGCACCGCACCCCUGAAGCAUGUAUCCAAUUUUUUUCUGGAGUCCUUGGGCGGGCCGCUGCCAGAUCUGCCACGCUCGUGUACACUAUAGCGAUGCAGUGGUGAGCAGCAAAAAGCAACAGAGAGUUUCGGGGACCGCCGGCGAUGUCGUCGUCAUGGAAUAUGUUGGGGCUGGAGGUGCUCUACUAGGUCAUCGAUUAGGUGGACCGCCUUCUCGCCCGGUCGUUCAGCAUCUACCCGCUGGUCAUCCUCAACUACAAGUGCAAGAGUUAUGGCUAAAUAAAAAUCACGACUGGGAAGAAGACUCAGGGAAUAAGAACAGACCAUUAGGAUAUUUGGAUCAGAUCAAAAUCAGAAAAUCGUCACAAAACCGAAGAUACUGCAAAAAAGGUUUUUAAUUACUAAAUUAAGAGUUUUGGUGGUUUCCACAAUUGUAUGAAAAAUUGGAAUUUAAAUUUUUGACCCAUCGAGAUUUGUACUUGUGGCAGUAUGGUCUGAUUGUGUUUAUUUUAGUAACCACAUCCUCCACAACACGGCUUUUCAUAGGUAUUGCUUUCCCUUGACCAUUCCGAUAAUUAAUUAAGCUUUAUCCUAAAAGCCAAUUUUAUCAUUCAACCCUUAAGAAAAUGUGUUAUGCACAGAGAAGUGGCGUUCAAGUGUGAAGUCAGAAACAAACUAACACAUGUUGAUGCAGUUGUUCCCACAUACACACUCUUAGUUAUUUUCCUAUCUGACCAAAUGAUAUCUACUCUUUGUCCAGUUCUUGCAAAAAGGAAUGGAUUAUUGAAUGUUUGCUACUCCAUGGUAUGCUUGAUUGUUGUGUGCUUUUUUGAGCAAAUUGGAUAAUUUGUGGAAAAUCUGAAUUUUAUAUGACGGUCUGAACUUUCUUGUGCAUGAUUGUUGAUAAAUUAUUUUAUUUGAGAUUUGCUAAGCCAAAUUUAGGUGAGCAUACCAUUCCAGCACAUCAAGACAAAUGUAUAUUGUAGUAUUUCCAAAUUAUCGAUAUGGGAGGUUACCAGAGUAGUGUUGUUAAGGGUGUUUUGUUCCCACUACGAUUUGUCUUUCUGUUCUUAGACUUUUUGCAUGUUUUGUACUGGUAUUACAAAGCUUUCAUCAAGGUCAAUGCACACAGAGGUGACGCUGGAGCUGUCUUGCUCGAGGUUAAUUUUAUCCUACUUCGGCUCCAUUGCGCAAAGAUGAACAACAACCCAAGCAAAUUCGGUGCAAAAGACAAUAAAAGUAAUAAGUUAUCACCACUAUGAGCCCCCCUUUGGUUAAAGAUAACUUUACAUAACAACAUUGCAUGAUAAUUUGGGGUUUAAUCCUAAGAUACUCAUUUUUUAUGUGAUAUAAAGUGUUUCAUCAUCCCUUUAGCCUAAUAACACACUUUCUCACUAAAGGUUUCUUCUAUGCUUUCUAAUUAAUGGAGUGACUGUCGAGAUUUGAAUAGCGAAUGUUUUCAAUGUUUGAACGCCACAAUCUCCGUGGAAGGCAUACAGAUAGAACAAUUGUUUUAUUUUAUUAAGCUGAAGCAUGUCAAAGAUUAUUUAGUUACUUUGAUGGGAAAAACAUUGUAUUCACUUAGUACUCAACAUAACAGAAAUUAUGUUGAACUUCCUAUCAUUGAAACAUGAGAUGUUCCAUUGAAAGUUUAUUUAUGUGUCCUACAACAACUUUCAUUAGCAUAUCCUCCAUCCUAUCUUUUUGUUCUGUUAUUCGUUGAGGAGUUCUGUGGGGGUCGUUCGUCUAUUGGAGAAUGUGGGAGAGAGAAAGCAAGGUUGUUCUUCUUAAGUUGCUUACACGUUUGUAGGUUAGCCCCAUAUCUUUGUACAAGUUAAUCCGUGCUCUCUCACAUCAACUUCUUUUUGUUUGAUGGAUAAAUCUUCAUUCAUUAAACAACUCUUUAUGAACUAACUCAAACAUAUAAUCUUGUAGGUACCUUCAUGGCACGAGAUGGACAAUUUCAAUCCACCCUUUAUUCCAAAUUGUCUUACUGAUUCAUGCUAAGCAACUAUGAAAACUUCUGGAUGACCCUUUUUUAUAUAUUGUGUUUGAUGUA